GGAAAGAGAGAAAGGAGCUGUGUGUAUACAUUCCUCCACUGCAGACGGAGGAAGUUGCAUUGUUUAGGGAAUGCGCUCUACAGCAUGGCAGGGGCAGAAAAACAGCAAUUUACUCACCGUAUAAAGGCCACCCAAAUCUGACAGAAAAAUAACCAGCAUACCAGUUCUGUGACAACUCGAACAAACCGCCUACUUAUCAAACUCAAAUGUCUCCCAAAAAACAUGUUUCAAAACAAGGCGCCCAGCCUACCAGCCUGCAGCAGCUUCAGACAUUACUGCUGAGGGCUGAAGUCAAUAUCCAACCAGGUCAAAUGGAAAAUUGACGAGCCCGCAUAUGUUCCAGCCCGGCUUCGAGACCGAGAUAAAAACCAGGAGACAAAUGAGCUGGUGUGGCUCACACUUUGAUUUGAGGGAAACGUGUUUAUCCUUGAAAAAGAAAAUCAGCAAACUACCAAAAAAGGGCGGGACGGCUGAGAGGAGCGCUCUCUCACCACUCUCACCAGUGGCUAAUUAACAAUGUGGCCCCAGUUAAAGUCUGCUGUCUCCCGGGCUCCCGUGUCGGAUUAUUGUCUCCCAUCGACGCAACGCGCAUGCCAGCGUGUUUGCUCAGCCUGCGCUCUGUACCCUGCCCAGCCUUCCACCGAACCUGCCAGCAGCCCACCCCCGGGCCUCUCCUCA
Gasterosteus aculeatus aculeatus (three-spined stickleback) is the source of this 678-nucleotide long non-coding RNA. NCBI's taxonomy places the organism in Eukaryota, Metazoa, Chordata, Actinopteri, Perciformes, Gasterosteidae. The record is from Ensembl.